GGACGGAGAGAGUAAUAUUAAUUAUCAAAUAAUAGUUGCAAUAUUGUCCAAGAUCUAAAAAUUUGAAGUCCGGAGGUUCAUUCCGGGGCAGAGCUUAGUUGAGGCCAACGUGGACUAUGCUCCCUUUGCUCAACUUAAUCUCCAUUGAUUAAAUAGUAAUUUCGGUAUAUUCAUAGGUGUCUAUAGAAAUCACGAUGGUUUUUGCAUUGGAAGUGUCCUUAUACAAUAUUUCCAACACUAUGAAACAUGCAUGUUGACACUAGCGUUGGGACUUGAGAGGUUUCAUCUCAUCCGAGGUCUCUAAUCUUGUGUUAUUGUGUACGGCCUGUGAAAAAAAUAAAAGUAUGCAUUGAAGGGAUUGUUUCAUCCAUUAACUCUUACAGUUCAAGACAGCGAAAUUGACACUUUCUAUUUGGGAUUGGCCUUCUAGUGUCUAGCUCCUAAUUUUACCAUUUGAAAGCCAGCUUAGUGAGUUUGUUAUGCAAAACAUUGUCUAUGUAUAUAUACGAAUUUUUUUGAAUUUUUUUUUUUGGUAAUGCUCUAUACAUUACCAGAAUCAACAAUGUUCCCUGCAACUAAUAUUACUAGGGAACAACAACCCAAAAUGUGUAGGGAAAUUGUUCCCAAGAGUUUUUACAAAGGAAAAGAUUUGUAGGAGAAAUACUGAGAAUAAUAGAAUAACAUGGAAACAAUAGUUUCCCUACUUAUCUGGAUGGUAGUGAACCUUGCUUACAUGUCACAUUUGCAAAGUUUCUUUCCCUAUAGUUUUUCAACCCUAAUGAUGAAACAUUUCCAUUUUCAAUUUUUGUAAAAAUAAUCCUUAAUUUUAAAAUCAGGCAUGAGACAUUGAUACAUUAAUUUCGUAUGACACAGAUUUUCAUAACUUUCUUGCUAAGAAAUGAACAAUCUUGAAUCUAGACACAUUCUACGUAGAAGCACAAUUAAUGUCUGCAGCUCACAAUAUAAUGCCCACUAAUUUAUGUAAACAUUCUUCUCAAAUAUGCACAGAGCAAAUUACCAUUGGAGAAUCUAAAAUUUCUACGGCGCGGCUACUGGCUAGAUCUACUUCUUGUUACUGAAGUUUUGGGCCUUUUUUGGCUUCCUGCAAUAUAAUCCUUCUGAGGCUAGUCACUAUGCAUAUUAUACGCAAAAUUUUGUAUUCUUUAUGAUGCUCCAUAUAUAGGGCCUUUAGAUAGACAAAUAACUUUAAGGCCUUUCAAACUAGAACCUGAACCUAGUCCAAUUGGAGAGGCCAUAAAAUUAUGCUUUUAUUCUUUUUAGAGAGAGCUAGGGUAUUUGGCAAAUAUUAUCGUUUCAAAAUGGUCGAGAUGCAACAGUUUUUUUUUAGAUUUUAGGACCAUGGUAUUGUUAAAGACAUAUAUUUUGGAAUUUUAUAAAAAAACUAUAGUGGAGACCUUUUUUUCUUUCUAAAUCCACAAUUUUAUACGUUACUGGCUUGUAAACUACAUUAUUCAUGGU
RNAcentral lists this long non-coding RNA (1479 nucleotides) under Sorghum bicolor (sorghum). RNAcentral's name for it is "long non-coding RNA (SBIC_LNC004057)". The record is from RNAcentral. Lineage: Eukaryota; Viridiplantae; Streptophyta; Magnoliopsida; Poales; Poaceae.